This 497-nucleotide ribosomal RNA is filed under the name uncultured bacterium. Its description in RNAcentral is "partial 16S ribosomal RNA". It matches the Rfam family "Bacterial small subunit ribosomal RNA", at positions 28 to 507 of the family's 1533-position model. The record is from RNAcentral.
GACGAACGCUGGCGGCGUGCCUAAUACAUGCAAGUUGAGCGCUGAAGGUUGGAACUCGUACUAACUGGAUGAGCAGCGAACGGGUGAGUAACGAGUGGGUAAUCAGCUUUUGAGCGGGGGACAACAUCUGGAAACGAAUGACAAUACCGCAUAAAAACUUCAAACACAAGAUUUAAGUUUGCAAGAUGCAUUUGCCUCACUAAAAGAUGAUCCCGCGUUGUAUUAGCUAGCUGGUGAGGUAAAGGCUCACCAAGGCGAUGAUACAUAGCCGAGCUGCGAGGGAGAUCGGCCACAUUGGGACUGAGACACGGCCCAAACUCCUACGGGAGGCAGCAGUAGGGAAUCUUCGGCAAUGGACGAAAGUCUGACCGAGCAACGCCGCGUGAGGGAAGAAGGUUGUCGGAUCGUAAAACUCUGUUGGUAGAGAAGAACGUUGGUGAGAGUGGAAAGCUCAUCAAGUGACGGUAACUACCCAGAAAGGGACGGCUAACUACGUG